RNAcentral lists this ribosomal RNA (492 nucleotides) under uncultured bacterium. RNAcentral describes it as "partial 16S ribosomal RNA". It matches the Rfam family "Bacterial small subunit ribosomal RNA", at positions 29 to 507 of the family's 1533-position model. The record is from RNAcentral.
AGUGAACGCUGGCGGUAGGCCUAACACAUGCAAGUCGAACGGCAGCACAGUAAGAGCUUGCUCUUACGGGUGGCGAGUGGCGGACGGGUGAGGAAUACAUCGGAAUCUACUUUUUCGUGGGGGAUAACGUAGGGAAACUUACGCUAAUACCGCAUACGACCUACGGGUGAAAGCAGGGGAUCUUCGGACCUUGCGCGAUUGAAUGAGCCGAUGUCGGAUUAGCUAGUUGGCGGGGUAAAGGCCCACCAAGGCGACGAUCCGUAGCUGGUCUGAGAGGAUGAUCAGCCACACUGGAACUGAGACACGGUCCAGACUCCUACGGGAGGCAGCAGUAGGGAAUCUUCCGCAAUGGGCGAAAGCUUGACGGAGCAACGCCGCGUGAGUGAUGAAGGUCUUCGGAUCGUAAAACUCUGUUAUUAGGGAAGAACAAAUGUGUAAGUAACUAUGCACGUCUUGACGGUACCUAAUCAGAAAGCCACGGCUAACUACGUG